GCGGGUGUAGCUCAUUUGGUUAGAGCGCCAGGUUGUGGCUCUGGAGGUAGCCGGUUCAAUCCCGGUCAUCCGCC
Molecule: transfer RNA, 74 nt
Filed under: Armatimonas rosea
Lineage: Bacteria; Bacillati; Armatimonadota; Armatimonadia; Armatimonadales; Armatimonadaceae
Also listed under: 1 other name
Rfam family: tRNA
About the family: Transfer RNA (tRNA) molecules are approximately 80 nucleotides in length. Their secondary structure includes four short double-helical elements and three loops (D, anti-codon, and T loops).
Source: Rfam by way of RNAcentral